CAACCAGCAUGGCCAUGCAGCGAUCCUGCCAAUGCUUUAAUCGAGGCUACCACGCGCUGCGCGCGCCGAAUAAAGCUUUGAAUUUUUCAAUCCACGUGUUUCCCUGGUACUCAUCAUACGCCUAGCAUUUAUGUGCAUCCGCCAGGUACCAGCCGAUUUUCAGUCGGCCAUGUUUGAUUUUUCGCCGAAACCGUGAAUUUUGACACAUUUGGUCAUCCAAUUUUCGAGAACUUUUUACGCCGUAAAUGACUUUUAUGAGCCUUGCAAUUACAGUAAUUUGAUGAAUUAAUGGUCCGCCAACUUGAAGAGACUGACUUUUGUGAACCAUGCUGAGGCUGGAUUGGAUGGACCAGACCAGUGCCUAGACUAUCGUGAAUGACUGCCCACUGAGGCUUUUCCCCAGCGACAUCAAAGCCAUUCACACCGUAGCCGAUGAUGCCCUGGCCUGGAUGUCUACCUUUGGCCUACAACUGUAGGCUGUGCACGCCAUACGAAAGAAGAAGCAGUGCCUAGGCUAGGCAGGACACUGAGGACAGGCUGGAUGACCAUCAUCAUGGUGACUGGGAUGACCUUAAGGAAGAGACUGACCUUUGUGAAUCAUGCUGAGGCUGGAUUGGAUGGACCAGACCAGUGCCUAGACUAUCGUGAAUGACUGCCCACUGAGGCUUUUCCCCAGCGACAUCAAAGCCAUCCACACCGUAGCCGAUGAUGCCCUGGCCUGGAUGUCUACCCUUGGCCUACAACUGUAGGCUGUGCACGCCAUACGAAAGAAGAAGAAGUGCCUAGGCUAGGCAGGACACUGAGGACAGACUGGAUGACCAUCAUCAUGGUGACUGGGAUGACCUUAAGGAAGAGACUGACCUUUGUGAACCAUGCUGAGGCUGGAUUGGAUGGACCAGACCAGUGCCUAGACUAUCGUGAAUGACUGCCCACUGAGGCUUUUCCCCAGCGACAUCAAAGCCAUCCACACUGUAGCCGAUGAUGCCCUGGCCUGGAUGUCUACCUUUGGCCUACAACUGUAGGCUGUGCACGCCAUACGAAAGAAGAAGAAGUGCCUAGGCUAGGCAGGACACUGAGGACAGACUGGAUGACCAUCAUCAUGGUGACUGGGAUGACCUUAAGGCCAAGAGGAGGGAAGUUGAUCUCAUCUCAAAGUUUGGUGGAACAUGGCUUUCUACUGGUUCCCGUCUCCCAUAUCUGCCAUACAUGUAGCCCUUGCUCUUGGGAAACCAUCUGGACAGAUGCUGUCCACAUAGUGAUACGUAGCCUACCUGUUCAUCGUCCGCCAUAGGAACCAAGGUGCGGACAGGCAGUUCAGGAUGUCUGUGAGAGAUGAGGCAACAUCCUAAAGUCUAUUCUGGCUUCUCUCAGGAUGACUGAGUGCUGCAAAUUGGUGAGUGUCUUAAAACAUUUUGCUCAAAUAACUCAGGGGAAGAGGGGCCAGGAAACACCUCAGAUUGCACCACAGAGCAUCUGGAAUCUAAAACUUCCUGGGCUUCUUUAGCUGGCCCUGGACCCCACGCCGUAAGACAUUCGUCCUCGGAAACACUGUCCCAAUGCAUCAUUGCAACAGUUUAAUACAAAGUAAACUUGUCAACACAAUUCUUUUCCCAAACUAAAAUGCAAGAAAAUAUGAAGACGAAAAUACUUGGUUUUCAACUUUGAAGUACACAGUAAGUUAAAAUUUGUAAAAGCAAGAGUUGUUUAAAAAAAUCCUUAUAAUCUCAAAAAUAUUAUGUAUUCCUUCCUUUAAAUCCUUCAAACGUUUUCUUCAAUCCGUCCUCAAGUGUCCCAUUUUUGAGAUGGAUUUGAUUCAGAGAAUAGACAGUCAAACUUUGGCAUCUACUGUAAUUGAUACAAAAUGGAUUUAAAGGACAAAAGUGCUCAUCCAUAUCAAAAUUACUUUGUUUAUCAAAAAUUGUACCAUUUUUUU
This is a long non-coding RNA of Patiria miniata (bat star), 1933 nucleotides long. RefSeq lists it as uncharacterized. The record is from RefSeq and is a predicted model, not a curated record. Lineage: Eukaryota; Metazoa; Echinodermata; Asteroidea; Valvatida; Asterinidae. The transcript is spliced from 5 exons.